RNAcentral lists this ribosomal RNA (406 nucleotides) under uncultured bacterium. RNAcentral's name for it is "partial 16S ribosomal RNA". It matches the Rfam family "Bacterial small subunit ribosomal RNA", at positions 30 to 526 of the family's 1533-position model. The record is from RNAcentral.
AUUGAACGCUGGCGGCAGGCCUAACACAUGCAAGUCGAACGAGUGGCGGACGGGUGAGUAAUGUAUGGGAAACUGCCUGAUGGAGGGGGAUAACUACUGGAAACGGUAGCUAAUACCGCAUACCAUCAGAUGUGCCCAGAUGGGAUUAGCUAGUGUGUGGGGUAACGGCUCACCUAGGCGACGAUCCCUAGCUGGUCUGAGAGGAGGACCAGGUACACCGGAACUGAGACACGGCCCAGACGCCUCCGGGAGGCAGCAGUGGGGAAUAUUGCACAAUGGGCGCAAGUCUGAUGCAGCCAUGCCGCGUGUAGGAAGAAGGCCUUCGGGUUGUAAAGUACGUUUAGUGGGGAGGCGUUAUCCUCAGAAGAAGCACCGGCUAACUCCGUGCCAGCAGCCGCGGUAAUUC